Colossoma macropomum (tambaqui) is the source of this 968-nucleotide long non-coding RNA. RefSeq lists it as uncharacterized. The record is from RefSeq and is a predicted model, not a curated record. The transcript has 6 exons. Lineage: Eukaryota; Metazoa; Chordata; Actinopteri; Characiformes; Serrasalmidae.
AGCUUGGCGCAACUCACACAACUUAGCAACUGUUUAAAGUUUGUCAUAGGAAAGCUUUGGUGAAUUCAGCCUCUCAUCCUCUAUUUAUGUGUGUCUAAUGCAAAUAUAGGUGGGGAAGUCAUCAUUGCUUUGCUUCCUUGUUGAAGAGGCUACAGAGCAAACAGUAUGAACAUCAUUUGACAAGCAAAACUGAAGCAAAUGUUCCUGAACUCCAGACCAAACUUCUGACCAGACUGAUAUACACGCUCAGUAAAGAGGAGGAGACAUGCUGUACGUUUCUGUCGCCAUUUCGAAGAAGCGCAGACAGUCAUCGGUUGGAGCUCAGAGCUGAUCUGCUGUACUGAACAUAGUUUCAGUUCAUAAAGAAUGAAAAGAUUGCUGACAAACUGCUGUGGGAAAUGCCUGCAAUUCCUUCUUCCACUAAAGAACUGGACACUGUCUGAUGGAUGUGGCUGACAGGCUGCUCUUGUUGUCUAAACUGAAGUGUGACGGAUCUGAGAGGAGCUCGAUGAAGAGCGGUCCUCUCGCGGUAUAUGUGUCAGUAAAGAUCUAUAAAACCACAGUAUGUGAGCAUCACUCUGAACUCCAGUUAAUCCAGUAUGGAUGGUUACAGUGUUUCCCUCCAGCUCCUGCAGUCUGACAACCUCUUCUCCAGCUGAGCACAGCAGACCUGAAACAGUAGUGAGUUCAGCAGUCUGCCAUAUGAAAGGAACAGGUCAGUCAUCAGUUCCAUUUACUUAAACUCAGGGGAAAAUAUUUUAAUACUUCUUUAUUUAUUUUACUGUUUAGUAGCACCCCUACAUGUGUUAAACCACACCCAUACAUGUAUUAAACCACACCACUCUUUGAUAAAUGUAAGUGUUCGAACAAUAAUUGAAAUAAAAAAUGUUUUUAUAAAGAUGAAAGAUUUUUUCUUUAUGUUCCAAGACCUUCCUUAGAAUAUUUGUUCAUCUUAUGGACGCUCUGUA